Molecule: ribosomal RNA, 200 nt
Filed under: uncultured bacterium
Lineage: Bacteria
Description: partial 16S ribosomal RNA
Rfam family: Bacterial small subunit ribosomal RNA
Source: RNAcentral
UACGGAGGGGGCUAGCGUUAUUCGGAAUUACUGGGCGUAAAGCGCACGUAGGCGGAUUAGAAAGUCAGAGGUGAAAUCCCAGGGCUCAACCUUGGAACUGCCUUUGAAACUUCUAGUCUUGAGUUCGAGAGAGGUAGUAGUGAAUUCCGAGUGUAGAGGUGAAAUUCGUAGAUAUUCGGAGGAACACCAGUGGCGAAGGC